This 406-nucleotide ribosomal RNA is filed under the name uncultured bacterium. RNAcentral's name for it is "partial 16S ribosomal RNA". It matches the Rfam family "Bacterial small subunit ribosomal RNA", at positions 30 to 526 of the family's 1533-position model. The record is from RNAcentral.
AUUGAACGCUGGCGGCAGGCCUAACACAUGCAAGUCGAACGAGUGGCGGACGGGUGAGUAAUGUCUGGGAAACUGCCUGAUGGAGGGGGAUAACUACUGGAAACGGUAGCUAAUACCGCAUACCAUCGGAUGUGCCCAGAUGGGAUUAGCUAGGAGGUGGGGUCACGGCUCACCUAGGCGCCGAUCCCUAGCUGGUCUGAGAGGAUGACCAGGCACACUGGAACUGAGACACGGUGCAGACUCCUACGGGAGGCAGCGGUGGGGAAUAUUGCACAAUGGGCGCAAGCCUGAUGCAGGCAUGCCGCGUGUAUGAAGAGGGCCUUCGGGUUGUAAGGUACUUUCAGCGGGGAGGCGUUACCCGCAGAAGAAGCACCGGCUAACUCCGUGCCAGCAGCCGCGGUAAUUC